Molecule: ribosomal RNA, 1377 nt
Filed under: metagenome
Description: bacterial LSU rRNA
Rfam family: Bacterial large subunit ribosomal RNA
Source: RNAcentral
CAAGAGCCGCAAGGCUCAUAAAGUCGCAGACGCCACGCUGCCGAGAAAAUCCUCUAAGGAGUCUUUCGGGUACCCGUACCGCAAACCGACACAGGUAGGCGAGGAGAAAAUCCUCAGGCGCAAGUGAGAACCCUCGUUUAGGAACUCGGCAAACUAGCCCCGUAACUUCGGAAUAAGGGGUGCUCUAUUACCGUCAGCGGCCUCGCGCCGCGAAGCGGGAAAGAGUUGCAGUGAAGAGGCCCAAGCAACUGUUUACUAAAAACACAGGACUCUGCGAAGUCGAACACGACGUAUAGGGUCUGACGCCUGCCCGGUGCCGGAAGGUUAAAGGGAGAGGUUAGCCGCAAGGCGACGCUUCGAGCUGAAGCCCCGGUAAACGGCGGCCGUAACUAUAACGGUCCUAAGGUAGCGAAAUUCCUUGUCGGGUAAGUUCCGACCUGCACGAAUGGCGUAAUGAUUUGGGCGCUGUCUCAACGAGGGGCACUGCGAAUUUGUGGUACCGGUGAAGACGCCGGUUGCCCGUGAUUAGACGAAAAGACCCCGUGCACCUUUACUACAUCCUAGUAGUGAAUGCUGGCGCAAUAUGCGCAGGAUAGGUGGGAGGCUUUGAACCCAGGCUUUUGGGCUUGGGGGAGCCAACGGUGAGAUACCACCCUUAUUGUUCCGGCGUUCUAACUUAGAUCUGUCAUCCAGACCGAGGACACUGCUAGGUGGGUAGUUUGACUGGGGCGGUCGCCUCCUAAAGAGUAACGGAGGCGCGCGAAGGUUCGCUCAGGCUGUUUGGAAAUCAGCCAUAGAGUGCAAAAGCAUAAGCGAGCUUGACUGCGAGUCCUACAAGACGAGCAGGUGGGAAACCAGGCUUUAGUGAUCCGGUGGUUCCGCGUGGAAGGGCCAUCGCUCAACGGAUAAAAGGUACGCCGGGGAUAACAGGCUGAUCCUAGCCAAGAGUUCACAUCGACGCUAGGGUUUGGCACCUCGAUGUCGGCUCAUCACAUCCUGGAGCUGUAGCAGGUUCCAAGGGUUCGGCUUUCGCCGAUUAAAGUGGUACGUGAGCUGGGUUUAGAACGUCGCGAGACAGUUCGGUCUCUAUCUAUCAUGGGCGCAGGAGAUUUGAGUGGGGCUGACCUUAGUACGAGAGGACCGGGUUGGACGGACCUCUAGUGUAUCGGUUGUCACGCCAGUGGCAGCGCCGAGUAGCUACGUCCGGAAGGGAGAAACGCUGAAUGCAUCUAAGCGUGAAACCCUCCACAAGAUGAGAUCUCCCGAGCCAUAAGGCUCCUAAAGACUCCUGGAAGAUGACCAGGUCGAUAGGCCAGGUGUGUAAGAGCAGCGAUGCUUUUAGCUAACUGGUACUAAUAAGUCGUGCGGCUUGACCAU